UACGUAGGGGGCGAGCGUUGUCCGGAGUUACUGGGCGUAAAGGGCGUGCAGGCGGUGCAGUAAGUUUGGAGUGACAGUACCCGGCUUAACUGGGUAAGGACUUUGAAAACUGCUGGACUUGAGGGCUUCAGAGGGACACGGAAUUCCGGGUGGAGUGGUGAAAUGCGUAGAGAUCCGGAGGAACACCAAAGGCGAAGGCAGUGUCCUGGGGAGUACCUGACGCUCAGGUGCGAAAGCCAGGGGAGCGAACGGG
Molecule: ribosomal RNA, 253 nt
Filed under: uncultured bacterium
Lineage: Bacteria
Description: partial 16S ribosomal RNA
Rfam family: Bacterial small subunit ribosomal RNA
Source: RNAcentral